UGGGGAAUAUUGCACAAUGGGCGCAAGCCUGAUGCAGCCAUGCCGCGUGUGUGAAGAAGGCCUUCGGGUUGUAAAGCACUUUCAGCGAGGAGGAAGGUGGUGAGCUUAAUACGCUCAUCAAUUGACGUUACUCGCAGAAGAAGCACCGGCUAACUCCGUGCCAGCAGCCGCGGUAAUACGGAGGGUGCAAGCGUUAAUCGGAAUUACUGGGCGUAAAGCGCACGCAGGCGGUUUGUUAAGUCAGAUGUGAAAUCCCCGGGCUCAACCUGGGAACUGCAUUUGAAACUGGCAAGCUAGAGUCUCGUAGAGGGGGGUAGAAUUCCAGGUGUAGCGGUGAAAUGCGUAGAGAUCUGGAGGAAUACCGGUGGCGAAGGCGGCCCCCUGGACGAAGACUGACGCUCAGGUGCGAAAAGCGUGGGGAGCAAAACAGGAUUAGAUACCCUGGUAGUCCACGCUGUAAAACGAUGUCGAUUUGGAGGUUGUGCCCUUGAGGCGUGGCUUCCGGAGCUAACGCGUUAAAUCGACCGCCUGGGGAGUACGGCCGCAAGGUUAAAACUCAAAUGAAUUGAC
This 570-nucleotide ribosomal RNA is filed under the name uncultured bacterium. RNAcentral describes it as "partial 16S ribosomal RNA". It matches the Rfam family "Bacterial small subunit ribosomal RNA", at positions 355 to 914 of the family's 1533-position model. The record is from RNAcentral.